AAUGACUUGAUUUUUCUGUCUGAGUGAGUAGAAGCGGGGAUCAUAUUAACUAGGGAUGAGAUGAUGAAAGAUGGCAUCUACAACAGUGACUGAAAUAAUGAUGAUGGUCUGUUUUGAUUUCAGCCAAAGGCCCUCCAUCUCCUCCUGACAACGCCCCUGAGGUCUCUGAGAAACUGAAUCCAGCCAACUGAUUGACAAACGCACUCACUGAGUUUCCUCAUAUGGGAUGAAGAAAGUAAACUCUUUGACAUGUGCCAUGUUAAAUAACAUUACAUAAGUGAAGUAUUAGUCAUGAUUUAUGUGGUUGAUAUGUAAGUGUUAGUUUUUUUGACAGAUGCAAUAAGCACCCAGGUGUCCAUAGCCAACAACGUUUUUGCACCCAGGGUUGAAAGGCUAUUGUGGCUGUUUACAUUACAGUGUUCUGGGCAUUCGAGCAACAUCCAAAUAUGACAUUAACAUGAAUGGGUCUAAUCAGCUUUUCUGGUAAGAUUUAUGUUGGAUAAUGUUAUCUUCUGCCUUCUGCUUAGAGCUGGUAAAUUUACAGCUCACAGCAUCUUAAUACGAUACAGUCUCUGGCUUUUGUUUGAUAUCUAGUGUCAGCAAAAAAAAUAUUGUUGCACAUAUCCAAAUCGUUAGCUCGCAGGGCUAACUUGGCUUGUUUACUAUGUUACGUGAGCAUAGAUGUCACCCUAAAUGCCCGCCAGACACUGUUCAAUCUCUCAAACUUUACAUGAAAAAACAGCAAGAAGUAGAACAUUCAUGUUGAAAAGCCAAAUCUGACUUAAAUGACUUAAUUCUGAGUCGGAUACAAUCUUAAGUCAGUUAAAGCUACACUUACCUUCCUGGAAAUUUUACACUUUUCUUUGUUUAGGUUAAAAUGCUAUCCAUCCUAUAAGCUGAUGGCUCACUAAAAUGUAAGUGAAUUCCACCAGAGAUAAAAACUCAUAAUUACAGCAUUCUCAUAUGGUUCUAAGAAAACUCCAGCCAAUCAUUGCAUUCGGUCCGAAUAGUAGGUGAUACCAGAUAGAAGGUGAGGGUGAUUGGCCGUUACAUGAAGUUGCCUAUCAAGCCAGUUGUCACUGCAGUUUAUGCUGAGCAGAUACAAUGUAGAUAUGUGACUGGGGCAAGUUGUAGAGUAUCUGCUCUUUGUUUGGGCAAGUGAAGGAUUUAAAGGCAGCUUUAAGGUAUGUUUGGUCAGGUUUAGAGAUUGAUAUCAGAGGGCUCAGUGGAUUAUGUUUUGAUAACCACAAAUGAAUAACAAAACCAAAUAUAAGAUUCUUUUUUGUACUGAUGUUUUGCUUUUCAAUAAAGUUUGGCUCUUAUUUCAAAAA
This is a non-coding RNA of Epinephelus lanceolatus (giant grouper), 1331 nucleotides long. Lineage: Eukaryota; Metazoa; Chordata; Actinopteri; Perciformes; Serranidae. The record is from RefSeq and is a predicted model, not a curated record.